AGAGGUAGCCACAUAGAGUCAGAGACAUGCUCAAGUGCAGAGUUAGAUAAUGUGAUAAGGGUGGAAAGGGUUGUAAUGGAUUACUACUACUGCUCCUAUGGCGGCUUGGACUUAUAUGCACUACUCAGCUUGCUUGGGUACAGCUUCCUGGAACCUGAAGCCUGUUGCUUUUCUUUACAUAUUUCAUGAUGUAACUAUGACUGCGCUGUUAUCUGGCUUGUUGUGUUCUUUCUUCUCUAGAUAUGUAUGGAUAUAAAAACCACAUGUGGAUGAGUUAGGAGGAAAGCAACGUCUGGUGACAUGAUGCAAGUCUGGCCACUUUGAAUUAUGUAUUAACCUCCAUUUCUAAUGCACUGUGUGUUCUGACACCUGCUGAUCAUUGCCAGCAGGCCCCCGUCCACCGCCGCGUGCUGCACACACUCGCAAUUACCACGAAUUACAUCAAUAUUUUUGCAUAUUUUGGAAAAGCUAGUGAAAAAUACAUCUAAUAAACAACAUUAGCAAACAUAAAUUUGUGAGCCAUCCAUUAUCCUCCUUUUAGCAGAGUGUCUGAAUUACUAGUUCUUUAUACUGGACAUGUUAUUACCAGAAGCAUCAGAUAGUAGGACAGAUUUUACAUUUUUUAUUACCAGCACGUCCGAGUAAAAGUAUUAGCAGUCCUACGGUCUGUGCUUCCCUGGGUGUUUCCAUUUUUUACAGAGCGCCUGGAGCCAGAUGUGCACGUGGGGUUGGGAGCAAAGGUCAAAGUGGACACAGCUGGUUGUGGGACAGGAGGAAGCGAGGGCGGAGGACGGUGCUGCCUGCGAGCACGGAGCUGUUCUCUGCUGGGUUUUGUUUACACCAGGUUUAUGUGAGCUGACCACACCUGAAAGAUCCGUGCUGCAGACGACCCUUCUAUAGGAGUCCAGCUCCCUCCCGUACGGCGGCAGAAGACAAAAAGACGAGAGCAAGACUUGGCACCUCCUGAUCACCUCGGCUCCCUCCGUGUUGCUCCUCCCAGCGCUCAGGGUGAGUGAAGUGCGAGACAAAGUAAUCUUCAGGUGAAAAGACAGGCUUCCUCCCUCCCUCUCUCCCUCACAGCGCUGCCGUCUUCCCGCUCUACCUGCUCAGAGCGGAGUGGACGAGCUCGCGCAGCAGCUGCCUCGGCUCUGCCUCUCGUGUCUGAGCGCUGUGCUCUUGCUCCAUCCGUUCCCCUCCUUUCUGUGCCUCUCCCUCCCUCUCGCCAUCCCUCUCCGACUCAUGAAUGUUUAGACAUGGCAAUUGUAGCUGAAAGCCAGUGAAUUAACCUGCGGGACUGAAAAUGCCCUCUUUUGUUCCACUGGCUUUUCCCCAGGUUUUCUUCUGCGAUUCCGUUCACUGUAUGUGACCCCCCCUAAACAACACAAUGAUUUGCUUUUAAAGCGGGUGAUAGUCUCUUAACUUUGUGGUCCCUGCUUGCCACUGGAUCUCAUCAACAGACUGUCUGGAGCAGGAAUAAAAGAUUAUGGUCUAACA
This 1494-nucleotide long non-coding RNA is filed under the name Betta splendens (Siamese fighting fish). RNAcentral's name for it is "lncRNA (ENSBSLG00000021548.1)". The record is from RNAcentral. Lineage: Eukaryota; Metazoa; Chordata; Actinopteri; Anabantiformes; Osphronemidae.